Molecule: unclassified non-coding RNA, 133 nt
Filed under: Saccharomycopsis fibuligera
Lineage: Eukaryota; Fungi; Ascomycota; Saccharomycetes; Ascoideales; Saccharomycopsidaceae
Description: partial contains 18S rRNA, ITS1, 5.8S rRNA, ITS2 and 28S rRNA
Source: RNAcentral
GUGGGGCUGUGUAAUUUUGUUUUUAGACCUGCGCUUACUGCGCGGUUUAAUAAACUCUUAUACACAGUGUUUUUGUUUGCGAAUUUGGUUUAGUUUGUUGGUUUUCAUUCGAAAGGAUGAAGAUUGAUUGCUA